CUUAAGAAAAUGCACAAGAAAAUUUUCGUGUUCUUUCUUCUGCUUGAAAUAGUAGUAGGCCAGUAAUUUUGACGUUUGAUAAUGCACCGUGAAUAGUAAACAAUGGCAGAAGAAGAGCGGUAAAAAGUAAACAAAAGAAACAAUCUUUUGCCUAUGACCAAUUUGAGAUAGUUUUCACUGAUAUCGGAACAUCACUAUAUCUACCGAAGAAAUCUAUUUGUCGGACAGUCGACUUUUAAAAGCAUUAAAAUUGUACCAUUUUUUAUAUCGAAAUAUUUUCGACAUCCCUAUUUUCAAAUUGUUCUGCCUUACCAAUAUAUAAUCACACAUUCUACAAAACUAUUUUUUACCGACUAAGACUUGAAUUAUCAAUACGGCAGUGGUGAAAAGUUCAGAUAGAUUUAUCAAAUAGGUAUAUGCCGUGCCUGUUUGUCGCCGGAAGAUCGGGUGCAUCUGCUAGAUUGGCAUCAGCCUGUUGACUCUUUGGAUAUAUCAUACAAAGAGUGUUUUUGUAAAUGUACACAAAUUAAUUUAAGUUUGAAAGAUGAUCUAAAUGAACUCGAUGAUGCCCGGACGCAAUAUCUAUGCCUUGAUUGUGCCCAAAAACUUAAAGACGUUUAUGAUUUUAUUGAAAAGGCGAGAAGGGCUGAUAAUGAAUUACGUUGCACACAACCGAAAAAGUGAAGAUAGAAAGUAUAGCCAACACUUUUGAAUGGGUUCCAGUACAUGAAGAGCUAAUGGAAGAUCACGUAGAGGAUAUAAAAGUAUCACCAGAAUGGACUGAACAUUUUAUGGAUGAUGAUGAAAAAUCUGCAUC
Molecule: long non-coding RNA, 817 nt
Organism: Rhagoletis pomonella (apple maggot)
Lineage: Eukaryota; Metazoa; Arthropoda; Insecta; Diptera; Tephritidae
Exons: 3
Source: RefSeq, a predicted model, not a curated record